UGUGUGUGUGUGUGUGUGUGUGUGUGUGUGCCCGCGUGUGCGUGCGCCGCCCCGGGGCUGCCACUCACGAGCUGCUUAUUUAGGUCAAUUAGGGAGCAAAUCCCGGAGCGCGGGGGAGCGGCAGGGCCGGCCCUGGCGCACGGGGAACAGCCGGGGGGAGGCUUGGCCACCUCAUGUCUUUGCCUUGCCAUUGGAUGCAGCGGGCUCGGAGGGCAGCUCACGCAGCCAAUCGGCUCUGCAGGCACCGCGGUUAUAUUAAUAUCAUUAAUAAUAAUUAGCCCCCCUCCUCCCCCCCCUCCCCCCCUUCGGAGUGCGGCGGCCGCUGAGCUUUCAUGUCUGCGGCGGCGGGGAUGGAUGGAUGGAUGGAUGGAUGGAUGGAUGGACGGACGGACGGACGGACGGACGAGAUGCGGCCCUGCAGCCACCGCCGUGGGCUCCCGGCGGAGCGGGCAGGAUCCCCCUGUCCUGGACCCCCAUACGGAGCACUGGGAUGGGGGAGCACCCAGGGAGCGUCUGCCCCCAGGGUGCCCAAGUGGCCAAGAGGCCGGCGGCAUUGGAGGGCGGGCGGCCUUCGUCUCCCGAGGCCGCCUUGCUCUUCAUAGCACGGGCGCGCCCACUGCCAGCUCCCGAGCCCAUCGCUCCCGGCGUUCUCUCUCCGCACUUCGAUUUUGUGAUUCUUGCUGCUAUUGUAAUCCCAUUUCAUGGGAAGCCGUAAAGCCACCCCCUGCCUGUUCCCUUCUGCCGAGCCUUCCGGAUGUGCCCCGCUCGGGACAGGGACCCCCAGCAUCCCCGCAGAGCUCCAGGGCAGGACAGUGACUCGCUGCCUUUUUCCUGGAGACCAAGUGGGACAAGUCUGUCGAUCCGAAAUGCACGUCGGAGACCGGGAAGGUUUGGGUGAGUAUACAAAUGCCCUGAAAACUACUUAUUCAACUCACUGCUCUCUGCUUCUGGGAGUACUGCUUGAGCGGGUUAAAGGCACGACUCAGAGGCGAUGCUCACCAGCUCCCCGGCUCCACUCUACCUCCUCCGGCGGGAUUUCCCUCCUUGUUCCCCUUUGCAGUACCCCUGAGCACCCCUUCCCGUGUUCGAUUUAGGGAGCGGAGCAGUCGGGCACUGCCCGCUGCCACCUGGCCGCCGCAGCGACGAGACGGGGAGCAGCCAGAGCCGGCCCGGGGGGGAACCGGGUGUCGGGGCUGUCUAGGGAGGUGGAGAAAGGGGCAAAGUGGGGAACGGGGGAGAGAAAGAGAGGAAAGAAAGAAAGAAAGAGAGAGAGAGAGAAAUGGGGGAAAAAGAGAAAGAGAGAGAGAAAGAGAAAGAGAAAGAAAGAAAGAAAGAAAGAAAGAAAGAAAGUGAGAGAAAGGAGAAAAAACUUUCAAUUUCCAAAAACUCAAAAAAAAAAAAAAAGCAAUCAGAGCUCUGAAGUGAACUCUGGAAAAGCAGGAAUGUACAGGGACAUGUUCGGGUUUCAGUACUACCUGAGCAGAGACCAAUGACUGGCAAACUGUAAACCAGGCAAAAGUACAUUUAUCACUUGUUGCACAGGAGUGAUGCUAGCGAACAUUACUUUUAUGCUUUGUCCAUCGUGGUGCGUUUUACUAGAUAGGAAAUAUGAGUCUGACCAAUAUGUCUUACGCAUCUAUAAACCGUCUGCUCUGUUUCACUGGCAGACUCAGAAAAUAUAUGUGUGCUUUCCGGAAUAAAAAGAAGAAUGUGGACCCCGGUUACUUCUAU
RNAcentral lists this long non-coding RNA (1731 nucleotides) under Anas platyrhynchos platyrhynchos (common mallard). RNAcentral describes it as "lncRNA (ENSAPLG00000020138.1)". Lineage: Eukaryota; Metazoa; Chordata; Aves; Anseriformes; Anatidae. The record is from RNAcentral.